GGGUCCGCGGCUGAUUAGCUAGUUGGUGAGGUAAUGGCUCACCAAGGCCAUGAUCAGUAGCCGGUCUGAGAGGACGGUCGGCCACGACUGGAACUGAGACACGGUCCAGACUCCUACGGGAGGCAGCACUGGGGAAUUUUUCGCAAUGGGGGCAAACCUGACGAAGCAAUGCCGCGUGGAUGAUGAAGUAUCUCGGUACGUAAAAUCCUUUCGACGGGGACGAA
This 224-nucleotide ribosomal RNA is filed under the name uncultured Bacillota bacterium. RNAcentral's name for it is "uncultured Firmicutes bacterium partial 16S ribosomal RNA". It matches the Rfam family "Bacterial small subunit ribosomal RNA", at positions 227 to 449 of the family's 1533-position model. Lineage: Bacteria; Bacillati; Bacillota. The record is from RNAcentral.